This 496-nucleotide ribosomal RNA is filed under the name uncultured bacterium. RNAcentral's name for it is "bacterial SSU rRNA". It matches the Rfam family "Bacterial small subunit ribosomal RNA", at positions 28 to 507 of the family's 1533-position model. The record is from RNAcentral.
GAUGAACGCUAGCUACAGGCUUAACACAUGCAAGUCGAGGGGAAACGACUAUCCGAAAGACUUGCUUUUUGAUGGGCGUCGACCGGCGCACGGGUGAGUAACGCGUAUCCAACCUGCCCACCACUUGGGGAUAACCUUGCGAAAGUAAGACUAAUACCCAAUGACGUCUCUAGAAGACAUCUGAAAGAGAUUAAAGAUUUAUCGGUGAUGGAUGGGGAUGCCGUCUGAUUAGCUUGUUGCGGGGUAACGGCCCACCAAGGCGACGAUCAGUAGGGGUUCUGAGAGGAAGGUCCCCCCACAUUGGAACUGAGACACGGUCCAAAACUCCUACGGGAGGCAGCAGUGAGGAAUAUUGGUCAAUGGGCGAGAGCCUGAACCAGCCCAAGUAGCGUGCAGGAUGACGGCCCUAUGGGUUGUAAACUGCUUUUAUAAGGGAUAAAGUGGGCCAGCGUGGCUUUUGCAUGUACCGUAUGAAUAAGGACCGGCUAAUUCCGUG